Molecule: long non-coding RNA, 222 nt
Filed under: Elaeis guineensis (African oil palm)
Lineage: Eukaryota; Viridiplantae; Streptophyta; Magnoliopsida; Arecales; Arecaceae
Description: long non-coding RNA (EGUI_LNC076222)
Source: RNAcentral
UCGCCCUCCUUUGGUUUGGUUCCCCGCAAACCUUUCGCCUCUUGUUCCGCCCGAUUUCUCCGAGAUUUUUAGGAUCCUCAUUUGAAAUGUCUUCCGGCACCUCCACCUCUAGCGGUUCCAGGAGUUCAUCCGCCUCAGCCCCCCAGAACCCCCACACUGUAGACGAACCCACAUUUGGGGCUGGGCUUCGUCCGAUUUUUGCGUCGGGUGCUAUUCCCUGCU